This 1971-nucleotide ribosomal RNA is filed under the name sludge metagenome. RNAcentral describes it as "bacterial LSU rRNA". It matches the Rfam family "Bacterial large subunit ribosomal RNA", at positions 1 to 1988 of the family's 2925-position model. The record is from RNAcentral.
AUAAGUUAAUAAGGGCACACGGGGGAUGCCUAGGCUUCGAGAGGCGAAGAAGGACGUGAUAAGCUGCGAUAAGCUGCGGGUAUUGGCAAAUACGAUUUAAUCCGCAGAUUUCCGAAUGGGGAAACCCGGCACAUUGAAGAUGUGUCACUCGAAAGAGAGCAAACGCGCUGAACUGAAACAUCUAAGUAGGCGCAGGAAGAGAAAACAAAAGUGAUUUCCUUAGUAGUGGCGAGCGAAACGGAAACAGCCCAAACCGUCAUUGUUUCGGCAGUGGCGGGGUUGUAGGACUGCAACAUUGACUAUAUUGGCAUAGUGGAACUGUCUGGAAAGUCAGGCCAUAGGAGGUUAUAGCCCUGUACACGAAAUGUCAGUAUUACAUAGCAGUAUCCUGAGUAGGGCGGGGCACGAGAAACCCUGUCCGAAGCAGCCGGGACCAUCCGGCAAGGCUAAAUACUCCCGGUAGACCGAUAGCGGACGAGUACCGUGAGGGAAAGGUGAAAAGCAACGCGAGCAGCGGGGUGAAAGAGGACCUGAAACCGUGCGCCUACGAGCGGUCGGAGCCCGCCGGAAGACGGGUGACGGCGUGCCUUUUGCAUAAUGAGCCUACGAGUUGCCGUGGCCGGCGAGGUUAACCCCCUGGAGGGGGGGAGCCGGAGCGAAGGCGAGUCCGAAUAGGGCGAGGAGUCGGCUGCGGCAGGCGCGAAACUUUGCGAUCUACCCAUGGACAGGCUGAAGGCGCCGUAACGGGCGCUGGAGGGCCGAACCGGUGAGCGUUGAAAAGCUUUCGGAUGAGCCGUGGGUAGGGGUGAAAGGCCAAUCAAGCUGAGAGAUAGCUCGUACUCCCCGAAAUGCCUUUAGGGGCAGCCUCGGGCGGUGCGGGUGGCGGAGGUAGAGCUACCGGUUGGGUGCGAGGGCUUCACCGCCUAUCAAGCCCAGGCGAACUCCGAAUGCCGCCACCCGGAGCCCGGGAGUGAGCCGCGGGGUGCUAAUGUCCCGCGACGAGAGGGGAAGAACCCGGACCGGCGGCUAAGGUCCCGAAGCGCGCGCUAAGUCGCGAGGAAACGAGGUGCGGCAGCAGAGACAGCUAGGAUGUUGGCUUGGAAGCAGCCACUCAUUCAAAGAGUGCGUAACAGCUCACUAGUCGAGCGGCCGUGCGUGGAUAAUAAGCGGGCGUCAAGCGUACCACCGAAGCUCCGGAUUGACCCGUGAGGGUCACUGGUAGGGGAGCAUUCCGUGCCCGGCGAAUCCGCUGCGCGAGCAGCGGUGGAGGGCACGGAAAAGCAAAUGUAGGCAUGAGUAACGACAAGGCGGGUGGGAAACCCGCCCACCGAUAGGCCAAGGGUUCCUGAUCAACGCUAAUCGGAUCAGGGUAAGGCGGGGCCUAAGGGUAAGCCGAGGGGCGAUCCCGAUGGACAGCCGGUUAAUAUUCCGGCCCUGGCCCGCGCUGCGAUGGGGCGACGAAGGAGUGAAAGGACCGCCCGGCGACGGAAUGCCGGGUUGAAGGGUGUAGGUAUAGGGUGCAGGUUAACAGCCGGAUCCUGCCGAACCCGAUAGUACCGCGAGCCCACGGGCGAGCGGAUAGCGUCCCUAAGCCGACUUCCAAGAAAACCCCCUAAGCACCAGGCGCGGGGCACCCGUACCGCAAACCGACACAGGUGGCCAAGGAGAGUAUCCUGAGGUGCUCGAGUGAAUCACGGCCAAGGAACUCGGCAAACUGGUCCUGUAACUUCGGGAGAAGGGACCCCCCCGGCGACGGGGGGCGCAGAGAAAUGGCCCAGGCGACUGUUUACCAAAAACACAGGGCUAUGCGAAACCGAAAGGUGAUGUAUAUGGCCUGACACCUGCCCGGUGCCGGAAGGUUAAGGGGAGGGGUUAUCCUCGGAGAAGCCCUGAGCUGAAGCCCCGGUAAACGGCGGCCGUAACUAUAACGGUCCUAAGGUAGCGAAAUUCCUUGUCGGGUAAGUUCCGACC